UACGUAGGGGGCGAGCGUUGUCCGAAUUCACUGGGCGUAAAGCGCGCGUAGGCGGACUUUUAAGUUGGGGGUGAAAUCCCGAGGCUCAACCUCGGAACUGCCUUCAAAACUGGGAGUCUUGAGGUAUGGAGAGGGAAGUGGAAUUCCAGGUGUAGCGGUGAUAUGCGUAGAUAUCUGGAGGAACACCCGUGGCGAAGGCGGCUUCCUGGCCAUAUCCUGACGCUGAGGUGCGAAAGCUAGGGGAGCGAAC
Molecule: ribosomal RNA, 250 nt
Filed under: uncultured bacterium
Lineage: Bacteria
Description: partial 16S ribosomal RNA
Rfam family: Bacterial small subunit ribosomal RNA
Source: RNAcentral